RNAcentral lists this transfer RNA (64 nucleotides) under Dryophiops rubescens. Its description in RNAcentral is "tRNA-Asp". Lineage: Eukaryota; Metazoa; Chordata; Lepidosauria; Squamata; Colubridae. The record is from RNAcentral.
GAGAACCUAGUAAAACUUAUUACAUGGCCCUGUCACGGCCAAAUCACAGAUACUGUGGUACUCA